RNAcentral lists this long non-coding RNA (1020 nucleotides) under Nothobranchius furzeri (turquoise killifish). RNAcentral's name for it is "lncRNA (ENSNFUG00015009012.1)". The record is from RNAcentral. Lineage: Eukaryota; Metazoa; Chordata; Actinopteri; Cyprinodontiformes; Nothobranchiidae.
AUGAUUGUUUUUGUCUCUACCCAGGAGCUGACAGAAACAGAGGCCCCUGUGCCGAAAAAGAAGUCAGAGAAGAGCAAGAGGACAAAGGAGGCAAUUUCUUCUCCCUCUGCCCGUGCUUUCUCUGACACCGAAAAGUCGCCCAAGAAGAAGCUCUCCGCUAUGGAGACGGCCUUCCAAGGCUUGGCCCCCUGCUUGGCUGGGAAAAGUAAGGCCUCCAAGCUGAGGAACAGUCCCUUGGGCACCUCCAUUGAAUCCUACCUGGAGGAUUACUUCACUUUUAUCUUCUGCCCCAAGGGAAAGAGCAAAAUGCAGGAGAACGCAGUUUCUAAGCUGAGCCGGGCAAAGGUAUUUGUUAAAUACCUUUUGCUCGGCUCAGACUCGUCUGCAUCCUGGAACUGGCAGUUCCUGUACAACAUCCCCCUGCUGAAGUCCUACCCCGCAGUCCUCUGCAAAUUUGGCCUUUCGCCGACCACCAUCAGCCUCUACUUGGGCCAGGCCGUCUCAUUUGUGGAGUACUUCAGGGCCAUGCUGCCCAGCCACUCGCGGCUCCACCGUGGGCAAACCAAAAUCCUGGUCCUCAAGCUCAAGAAGCUGAGCAGGGACAUCGGGCGGACCGUCCUGGGACACCAGCUGCUGACCAAGCAAAAAAAGGUCUCCAAGCUGGUGUCCAAGGAGGACCUCCGCCUUUGCCAGCUCCUUGCUCGGGAGAAAAUCCCCUCUCUGCUCGGUCCUCGAGCACAAGACUGCCCGGAAAUUCGGAACCGCCCAAAUCUACUUAGAGCCCGAAGAAUUUUUGUGGUUCCAGACCUGGCUCAGGCUGAGAGACAGAGCCGUUGCCAGGAAUGGCUAUUUAUUUUCGUCUCUUGGCCGUGGGGAGGCGAAAGACAUGGCCCGUUAUUUCAGCAAAGCCUGGAAAGAGAUGGGACUCUAGGGGUACCCUACCAUCAUGGACAUACGAACGGCUGUGUCCACCUACAAUUUUCAGGAGAACAACCCGGAGGUGCGGGAGAACCUCUCUAA